GUGAGGAAUAUUGGUCAAUGGACGAGAGUCUGAACCAGCCAAGUAGCGUGAAGGAUGACUGCCCUAUGGGUUGUAAACUUCUUUUAUAUGGGAAUAAAGUGAGCCACGUGUGGCUUUUUGUAUGUACCAUACGAAUAAGGAUCGGCUAACUCCGUGCCAGCAGCCGCGGUAAUACGGAGGAUCCGAGCGUUAUCCGGAUUUAUUGGGUUUAAAGGGAGCGUAGGCGGACUAUUAAGUCAGCUGUGAAAGUUUGCGGCUCAACCGUAAAAUUGCAGUUGAUACUGGUCGUCUUGAGUGCAGUAGAGGUAGGCGGAAUUCGUGGUGUAGCGGUGAAAUGCUUAGAUAUCACGAAGAACUCCGAUUGCGAAGGCAGCUUACUGGACUGUAACUGACGCUGAUGCUCGAAAGUGUGGGUAUCAAACAGGA
This 426-nucleotide ribosomal RNA is filed under the name uncultured bacterium. Its description in RNAcentral is "bacterial SSU rRNA". It matches the Rfam family "Bacterial small subunit ribosomal RNA", at positions 354 to 777 of the family's 1533-position model. The record is from RNAcentral.